UACGGGGGGAGCAAGCGUUGUUCGGAUUUACUGGGCGUAAAGGGCGCGUAGGCGGCCACCGCAAGUCGGUUGUGAAAUCUCUGGGCUUAACCCAGAAAGGUCAACCGAUACUGCGGGGCUAGAGUGCAGAAGGGGCAACUGGAAUUCUCGGUGUAGCGGUGAAAUGCGUAGAUAUCGAGAGGAACACCUGCGGCGAAGGCGGGUUGCUGGGCUGACACUGACGCUGAGGAGCGAAAGCGUGGGGAGCGAACAGG
RNAcentral lists this ribosomal RNA (254 nucleotides) under uncultured bacterium. Its description in RNAcentral is "partial 16S ribosomal RNA". It matches the Rfam family "Bacterial small subunit ribosomal RNA", at positions 524 to 776 of the family's 1533-position model. The record is from RNAcentral.